Molecule: ribosomal RNA, 405 nt
Filed under: uncultured prokaryote
Description: bacterial SSU rRNA
Rfam family: Bacterial small subunit ribosomal RNA
Source: RNAcentral
UGGGGAAUAUUGGGCAAUGGGCGCAAGCCUGACCCAGCAACGCCGCGUGAGGGAAGAAGGCUUUCGGGUUGUAAACCUCUGUCCUUGGUGACGAAAAAAAUGACGGUAGCCAAGGAGGAAGCCCCGGCUAACUACGUGCCAGCAGCCGCGGUAAUACGUAGGGGGCGAGCGCUGUCCGGAAUUACUGGGCGUAAAGGGUGCGUAGGUGGCCUUUUAAGUUGGAUGUGAAAUCCCCGAGCUUAACUUGGGUGGUGCAUCUAAUACUGGAGGGCUAGAGUGCAGGAGAGGAAAGCGGAAUUCCUAGUGUAGCGGUAAAAUGCGUAGAGAUAUGGAGGAACACCAGUGGCGAAGGCGGCUUCCUGGUCCGUAACUGACACUGAGGCGCGAAAGCGUGGGGAGCAAACA